This 265-nucleotide ribosomal RNA is filed under the name uncultured bacterium. RNAcentral's name for it is "partial 16S ribosomal RNA". It matches the Rfam family "Bacterial small subunit ribosomal RNA", at positions 90 to 353 of the family's 1533-position model. The record is from RNAcentral.
ACUGAGUGGCGGACGGGUGAGUAACGCGUGGGUAACCUGCCUUGUACAGGGGGAUAACAGUUGGAAACGACUGCUAAUACCGCAUAAGCGCACAGUACCGCAUGGUACAGUGUGAAAAACUCCGGUGGUGUAAGAUGGACCCGCGUCUGAUUAGGUAGUUGGUGGGGUAACGGCCCACCAAGCCGACGAUCGGUAGCCGGACUGAGAGGUUGAACGGCCACAUUGGGACUGAGACACGGCCCAGACUCCUACGGGAGGCAGCAUG